Molecule: unclassified non-coding RNA, 1158 nt
Filed under: Hevea brasiliensis (rubber tree)
Lineage: Eukaryota; Viridiplantae; Streptophyta; Magnoliopsida; Malpighiales; Euphorbiaceae
Source: RNAcentral
GUAGCACAAAACCAAACAGAGCCAAAAGCCCCACCUUUCAUUUCCUCUCUUCCAUUCCCAACUUACAACAAUGGCCUCCUUAUCCCUCCUUCCACCUCCCUCGACUACCACCACCACCACGUCCUUCUCCUCCUCCUUCUACCACAAUGCCUCCUACCUCCUCACCCUGCGCACCCGCUCCAUUAGUCUUCGCUCCCCCACCAGGACCUUCUCUAUCAGAGCCCAAUCCGCUCCUAUCCUCACCCAAGAUGACCUCAAGAAACUCGCUGCCGACAAAGCCGCCGAUUACGUCAAAUCCGGCAUGGUUCUCGGCCUCGGCACUGGCUCCACUGCUGCCUUUGUCGUUGCUAAGAUCGGAGAACUCCUAAAAUCUGGUCAAUUAACCGGUAUUGUUGGUAUACCCACUUCAAAACGCACCGAAGAGCAAGCCCGCUCGCUCGGGAUCCCACUUUCAGUUCUCGAUGAUCAUCCUCGUCUUGACCUCGCUAUAGACGGUGCAGACGAGGUCGACCCUGAUCUCAACCUAGUCAAAGGCCGGGGUGGGGCCCUCUUGAGAGAGAAAAUGGUGGAAGCAGCGUCUGAAAAGUUCGUGGUCGUCGCCGACGAGACGAAACUGGUAACCGUUCUUGGUGGGAGCAAGCUGGCAAUGCCGGUGGAGGUCGUGCAAUUUUGUUGGAAGUACAAUUUGGUGAGGUUGAAAGAAUUGUUCAAUGAAGAAGGGUGCGAAGCUAAGCUAAGAUUGAAUGAAGCUGGCAAGCCUUAUGUGACCGAUAACUCCAAUUACAUUGUGGAUUUGUAUUUCGAGAAUCCGAUUAAAGAUGCAUAUGCAGCUGGGAAGGAGAUUUCAGCUUGUGAAGGAGUGGUGGAACAUGGGUUGUUUUUGGAUAUGGCAACAGCGGUGAUUAUUGCUGGCAAGAGUGGAGUGGAGGUCAAGGCCAANNNNNNNNNGGUAGUGAGAACUGAAAUCUCUUAUGAUCUGCUGCUCUGCUAUUGUUGUUGUUAAUUACUUCUUUAUGGUGAUUUUGAGCUCUUUUAGUGUAACCUCUUAGAUGGGCAUUGUCUUAGUGCUUGUUAGAAAUUUUGUAUGCUAUAUGGUUUGUUGGGCAUCUUAUAAGGAUUUCGCUCAAUUAGCAUAGGGAAUGGAGAUAUGAAAUAAUG